CAGGGGGUGCAAGCGUUGUUCGGAAUUACUGGGCGUAAAGCGCGGGCAGGUGGCUUUUUAAGUCCUUUGUGAAAUUCCAGAGCUCAACUCCGGACAUGCAUAGGAUACUGGAAGGCUAGAGACUGGUAGAGGCGAGCGGAAUUCCUGGUGUAGCGGUGGAAUGCGUAGAUAUCAGGAAGAACACCGGUGGCGAAGGCGGCUCGCUGGGCCAGUUCUGACACUCAUCCGCGAAAGCGUGGGGAGCAAACAGGAUUAGAUACCCUGGUAGUCCACGCCGUAAACGAUGGGCACUAGAUGCCGGGCCUAUAGACGGGUUCGGUGUCGCAGCUAACGCAUUAAGUGCCCCGCCUGGGGAGUACGGCCGCAAGGCUG
RNAcentral lists this ribosomal RNA (372 nucleotides) under uncultured organism. RNAcentral's name for it is "bacterial SSU rRNA". It matches the Rfam family "Bacterial small subunit ribosomal RNA", at positions 526 to 896 of the family's 1533-position model. The record is from RNAcentral.